This 330-nucleotide long non-coding RNA is filed under the name Monodelphis domestica (gray short-tailed opossum). Its description in RNAcentral is "lncRNA (ENSMODG00000043468.1)". The record is from RNAcentral. Lineage: Eukaryota; Metazoa; Chordata; Mammalia; Didelphimorphia; Didelphidae.
CAUAUCCCAAACCAUCACCAUAGCAACUGACUAAGUGCCAUGGACUUUCUGUAAAUGUAUGUCCUCUAGGUUACCAUCACCAGCACAUGAGAGAGCAUCUGCCACAUGGCACUUAAUAAAUGCUUGUGGAUUGAAUGACUGAUUAAGAUGGAACUGCAAAGAAUCUUGCUGGACAGCCUUUGAUAAGAUUCUCCUCUUCACCAGCUCAUUGACUCCUCUGCCUGAAACCAUCCCCUCCUGAUUGGUGAUUACCUUCCCAGUUCCAUGAUUUUAUGAGAGACCUCAGCUGUGGCAAACAAGCUAAGCCAGUUGGUCAGCUCCUGUCAGGUA